Helianthus annuus (common sunflower) is the source of this 474-nucleotide long non-coding RNA. RefSeq lists it as uncharacterized. NCBI's taxonomy places the organism in Eukaryota, Viridiplantae, Streptophyta, Magnoliopsida, Asterales, Asteraceae. The transcript is spliced from 5 exons. The record is from RefSeq and is a predicted model, not a curated record.
UUUCCCUCUUCUCUCUCUCCUCUCUCGCAAUUCAAAAACCAGAUCUGCAGGUACCUUUCAUCUGACGAUUCAAGAAACCAGAUCUGCGAUUCAAGAAACCAGAUCUGCUCCUUUUCAUCGCGGAAUCGUCAUCAGCUUCUUCCUAAGGUUUUGCAGGUGGAGGAAUCGAUUCCUUCCAGAAAUCGAUGAACCCUAAAGCAUAAAAUUUAGGGCUUAUUACACAGGGCUUAUUACAACAGGUGAAAUCUCGCGCUCGAUUUAUAAAGCUGAGGAGGACCCCGCAGUCAUUUGGGACAUCUAAAGAGGAAGGAUAUAGAGGAGUUAGACCAUGAACUUGAUAUUGAACUCAUUGUUCAAUGGAUGAUGCUGGCACACAAGUUCUUGGAGAAGUCCGCGCAGUCUGAUAUUUACUUGAAGAAACAGAAUACAAAGAAAUCAUGGUGGUUAUUUGGAUGGUAAUACCUUUACCUUUUU